GCUACAUGUCACCGCAUGGUGGUGUGUGGAAAGGGUUUACUGGUCUUGGAUGGGCUCACGGCCUAUCAGCUUGUUGGUGAGGUAAUGGCUCACCAAGGCGACGACGGGUAGCCGGCCUGAGAGGGUGACCGGCCACACUGGGACUGAGACACGGCCCAGACUCCUACGGGAGGCAGCAGUGGGGAAUAUUGCACAAUGGGCGAAAGCCUGAUGCAGCGACGCCGCGUGAGGGAUGACGGCCUUCGGGUUGUAAACCUCUUUCAGCAGGGAAGAAGCCACAAGUGACGGUACCUGCAGAAGAAGCGCCGGCUAACUACGUGCCAGCAGCCGCGGUAAUACGUAGGGCGCAAGCGUUGUCCGGAAUUAUUGGGCGUAAAGAGCUCGUAGGCGGUUUGUCGCGUCUGCUGUGAAAGCCCGGGGCUUAACCCCGGGUGUGCAGUGGGUACGGGCAGACUAGAGUGCAGUAGGGGAGACUGGAAUUCCUGGUGUAGCGGUGGAAUGCGCAGAUAUCAGGAGGAACACCGAUGGCGAAGGCAGGUCUCUGGGCUGUUACUGACGCUGAGGAGCGAAAGCAUGGGGAGCGAACAGGAUUAGAUACCCUGGUAGUCCAUGCCGUAAACGUUGGGCACUAGGUGUGGGGGACAUUCCACGUUUUCCGCGCCGUAGCUAACGCAUUAAGUGCCCCGCCUGGGGAGUACGGCCGCAAGGCUAAAACUCAAAGGAAUUGACGGGGGCCCGCACAAGCGGCGGAGCAUGCGGAUUAAUUCGAUGCAACGCGAAGAACCUUACCAAGGCUUGACAUAUACCGGAUCGUUCCAGAGAUGGUUCUUCC
RNAcentral lists this ribosomal RNA (832 nucleotides) under Kocuria sp. L7-42. RNAcentral's name for it is "bacterial SSU rRNA". It matches the Rfam family "Bacterial small subunit ribosomal RNA", at positions 173 to 1016 of the family's 1533-position model. Lineage: Bacteria; Bacillati; Actinomycetota; Actinomycetes; Micrococcales; Micrococcaceae. The record is from RNAcentral.